CGAGCCACCCGGGGUGAUCGCGGCAGACGACGAUCUGUCGAGGAAAGUCCGGGCUCCACAGGGCAGGGUGGUGGGUAACGCCCACCCGGGGAGACCCGCGGGACAGUGCCACAGAAAACAAACUGCCGAGAAAUCGGUGAGGGUGAAACGGCGAGGCAAGAGCUCACCGCGGUAUCGGUGACGGUGCCGGCACGGCAAACCCCACCCGGAGCAAGGCCAAGAAGACCGUGAGGUCGCGGACGUGUUCGAGGGCUGCCCGCCCGAGCGCCCGGGUAGGCCGCGCAGCUGCAAUGCUGGAGGACGUCGGCAACGGCGUUCACAGAUGGAUGAUCACCGGCCCCCAUGGGGUCACAGAACCCGGCUUACAAGGGUGGCUCGUCCU
Molecule: RNase P RNA, 382 nt
Filed under: Cutibacterium granulosum
Lineage: Bacteria; Bacillati; Actinomycetota; Actinomycetes; Propionibacteriales; Propionibacteriaceae
Description: RNase P RNA component class A
Rfam family: Bacterial RNase P class A
About the family: Ribonuclease P (RNase P) is a ubiquitous endoribonuclease, found in archaea, bacteria and eukarya as well as chloroplasts and mitochondria. Its best characterised activity is the generation of mature 5'-ends of tRNAs by cleaving the 5'-leader elements of precursor-tRNAs.
Source: RNAcentral